GCAAACUUGGUCAUUUAGAGGAAGUAAAAGUCGUAACAAGGUUUCCGUAGGUGAACCUGCGGAAGGAUCAUUAACAAUGUGCAAUCCUUUAUCCACCUUGUGUGCAACUCGAGAAAAAAGCCUGCUCCGGAAAGAUUUAUUUUUUUUAAUCUUUCCGGAGAGGUCAUCACGAUCAAUUAUUUUUUUCUUUUCUGAUUUAUCUAAAAAUGCAAAUUUGAAAUAAAAAACAACUUUCAACAACGGAUCUCUUGGCUCUCGCAUCGAUGAAGAACGCAGC
RNAcentral lists this unclassified non-coding RNA (277 nucleotides) under uncultured fungus. Its description in RNAcentral is "partial contains small subunit ribosomal RNA, internal transcribed spacer 1, and 5.8S ribosomal RNA". The stretch from base 1 to 73 matches the Rfam family "Eukaryotic small subunit ribosomal RNA", at positions 1759 to 1831 of the family's 1831-position model. The record is from RNAcentral. Lineage: Eukaryota; Fungi.